This 1526-nucleotide telomerase RNA is filed under the name Akanthomyces lecanii RCEF 1005. RNAcentral's name for it is "Cordyceps confragosa RCEF 1005 Ascomycota telomerase RNA". It matches the Rfam family "Ascomycota telomerase RNA", at positions 208 to 1848 of the family's 1858-position model. The record is from Rfam by way of RNAcentral. Lineage: Eukaryota; Fungi; Ascomycota; Sordariomycetes; Hypocreales; Cordycipitaceae.
UUGCACCUUCGCCAGCCCUACAGUUCACCGUCACUCAUUUUCCGCAAGGAAUGUCUAUCGCAGACCCCUCUACGAGGCCCGGAUGACCGCGCGCGAGCCGCUCCCGAGCCUGCAUCAGGACCUCGCUGUUAGCCGCUGCUGGAUACCUCACCCGCCGCGGGUUCAACGCACCCAUAGCCAGGGGUGCCCGGCCGACCCAGAGGGAAUGCGUGUCGGAACUUAACCCUAAGUAAUCCUUCUGGUUCUUUCCCAAGUCUUGUGUCCUUUUGUCGUUGGCAGAGCCUUUUAAGUUGCGCGAGGAUCCCCGGACGCCCUUUGCCCGCUGAAAAGUUGGAUUGGGCUGCUUGGAAAACCUCGGCCUGCGACCGAAUGGCUCUCGCCGACGCCCCGGUUGCUUCUCGUCUUUUGGGGGAGAGGCAGGUCAAGGGAGAGGAUGCCAUGAGCCGUGCUGGUAAGAGUCUCUGGUCUGAGACCGCUCGUCGGCUCUUCUCCGCCGGAACCAGUGCUGUGGUUUUUGACAGCACGGCCGAUCGAGUGGUGCGGUCUGAAUAAACUGGGAGCUGAUUUGGUGUUUGUAAAUGGAGACACCCGAGGGAGUGCGAGUUGAGCUUGAAUGCGGCUACACACAGAGACGGCAUUUCUCCCUUUUUUCUUUUAUCCAACUUCUCCUUGCCGGAUGUUUUGUCAGCGUAAUGGCUGGCAAUACUGCAAGAGACAGCGCGGAUUACAAACAGAAAUGCUGCUCGUUCUUUCAUGCCCACUCAUGACGCUCUCGGAUCUUGCACCCUCAAGUCUUUUCAAAUGCCGAAGACGCCUCGGAAACUACGGAACGCCCCUCGAGCCAUGACUUUGCUCCGGCGAUCUCGUGGUAGAUUCUUUUUCCAAGGUCUAGCCAGGCACAUUAGCUUCUACACGUCAGCCCCGUCCGACAUGGCAGAAGGCGCCAGUCCAUCGCUGAUUGCCCUGCGACAUCAGCAAUUCCCUCUACUUUUGGGUGUUUCCCGAAAAGACGAGAUGACAGCACGUUUUUUAUGGAUGUCUUUUGAGCGUGCGGUAAUGCUUCCCUUUUCUAAACUUUGCUUCGGCAAGUUUUGAUGGGAAUGAAUCAAAAACUAGUCCCUGCAGGCAGUGCAAUACAUACAGAACAAGUCAACAUUAGCGAGCGACAUUGCUGCAUGGAAGACAGAAAUGGCUGGACUGGGUAUUUUUGGUGGUAGGCCGACUGACGACAGCAGCGAAUCAUUAUGGCUUUGGCAUUGGGCAGUCCGAGUGGCAGCUUGUCAACUUGGGCCCGAGUGAGCAGACAGCGCCGAACCAAAAAGCAGCUUGUCGGGACCCAUCUCGUGUUGGUGUCAAAGUUUCGUGCUUGUCCGGCACUGUGGGCUGGCGGAGCUGGCUGCGAGCUGGAGAUGUGCCUCGCAGCGCUUUUCGUGUUGAAAAUCUAUUCGUUUUGAAGGGACAGGCCCUGGGAUAUGGGUAGUCCUGGUUGUCCCGGCUGUCAGAAAUGUCGGACGGGGCAGCCCCCC